GAUGAACGCUGGCGGCGUGCCUAAUACAUGCAAGUCGAGCGAACGGACGAGAAGCUUGCUUCUCUGAUGUUAGCGGCGGACGGGUGAGUAACACGUGGAUAACCUACCUAUAAGACUGGGAUAACUUCGGGAAACCGGAGCUAACACCGGUUAAUAUUUUGAACCGCAUGGUUCAAAAGUGAAAGACGGUCUUGCUGUCACUUAUAGAUGGAUCCGCGCUGCAUUAGCUAGUUGGUAAGGUAACGGCUUACCAAGGCAACGAUGCAUAGCCGACCUGAGAGGGUGAUCGGCCACACUGGAACUGAGACACGGUCCAGACUCCUACGGGAGGCAGCAGUAGGGAAUCUUCCGCAAUGGGCGAAAGCCUGACGGAGCCACGCCGCGUGAGUGAAGAAGGUCUUCGGAUCGUAAAGCUCUGUUAGUAGGGAAGAACAUAUGUGUAAGUAACUGUGCACGUCUUGACGGUACCUAAUCAGAAAGCAACGGCUAACUACGUG
RNAcentral lists this ribosomal RNA (497 nucleotides) under uncultured bacterium. Its description in RNAcentral is "partial 16S ribosomal RNA". It matches the Rfam family "Bacterial small subunit ribosomal RNA", at positions 28 to 507 of the family's 1533-position model. The record is from RNAcentral.